GUGGGCAGGGCUCCGGGGAGGCUCCAUGCGCCUCGGUGACUGGGCAGGGGAGCAUCCGGGUACUGAGAGCCUGGGGGGGUUCCAGGCUGCCGCUGGGGCCCCGGGGUCGGCGGCUCAGGGGAGGGCAUCAAAGCUAAGGCUCUGGAGGAUGAGUAGGAGUUCACCUGCCAGAUGAAACCUGGGGAAGCAUUCUGGGUGGAACCAGGCCAACCUCACUUCCUGAUGCUACCUUGUGCCCGAUGCCGGGCUGGACCUCAGCCGGGCCAGAUGGUCCCUGGGUCGGGGAGCUUGGCUGGUGGCCGGAAUGCCCAGGCCGCAAUUCAUGCACUGAAGGUCUGAGGUCCUAUCAUUGAACGGCUGUCACUGGAGUCAGGACGAGAAGCCCAGGCACAGGUGGGCACGUGAGGCCCUGGGAUCCGCCCAGCACCACACACACAAAAGGGACAAGAUGUCCACCUUUCCGUGGGUCGGCAGACGCUCACUGAGCACCGACCGCGCACCAGCCGGUCCAUGGGCAGACACCACGGAGGGCAAAACUGACUGCCCAGAGCCGCCCUGGUUUGCCCAGCAGGCGACUCCUCGGCAUCCUUCAGAGCCCACCUCCCAGGGCUGGGAACAGGGCCCGUUCCAGGCGUGGAGGGGCGUGCCUGUGACGCCUGGGGAGGCCGAGGCCAGAGGACUCCAACAUCCAAGGGCUGGGGAGGUGGCUCAGGGUUAGAGCAUCCCGGAGUCAAAUCCCCAGUUUAAAAAAAGGAAGUAGAGAAGGGAGGGAGGGAGGGAGGAAGGAGGGAGGCUGCAGGAGCCUGGAGGCCGAGGGCGGGGAGGAGGAGGCUACUGCAGACCUCAGGGGUGAACUGUGAGGAGAGCUGGGGAGGAACGCUCCAGGCCGAGGGUCCAGCCCAGCAAAGGCCCUGGGGAGGAGCUUGGCAUGUUGGGAGCACAGUGAGGAGCCCAUGUGGGUGCAGCAGAGAGACGGUGGGAGGAAACAGGGAUGGGGCAGGGCAGGUGGUGCAGGGCCAGUGGCUGCAGGCAGGACGGGGGCUUGGGAGGUGGGAGGUGGGAGCCCUGGAGGGCUGUGCGCAGAGGAGGGGCCCGAGUCAGGUGCUCGCAGGCGCCCUCUGGCGGCUGCGGAAAGGACAGGCUGGAGGAGCCGAGCUUCAGGACCCCGGCGUGGUUGGUGAGGGUGGGACUGGGGUCUGCCUUCCCUCUGCUCUGUCCCCAGCGGCACCCAGCACACAGUAGAUGCUCAGGAAGUAAUUUUAAUGUAGCAGUACAUUUUAAUAAAAUACGAAUUAUUUUAGCAUACUCUACAUUUUAAUUAUAAUUAGUUGUAAUUAUACAAUAUAAGACAAUUAUAUUUACUUUGUUAUCAAAACUAAUAGUUACAUUGUUAUACAAGGUUUGACGACAUAAUGCAUGAUUCCUCGUGUUAUGUAAUUAUAUGCCUGCCAUGAGUUGUCAUCACUAGUAAUUACAUUAACAAUGUAACUAUUAUGUCACUCUCAAAAAUCAUGUUGUACAAUAAUUUAUUAAAACAUCUCUCCUACA
This is a long non-coding RNA of Marmota monax (woodchuck), 1548 nucleotides long. RefSeq lists it as uncharacterized. The transcript is spliced from 2 exons. Lineage: Eukaryota; Metazoa; Chordata; Mammalia; Rodentia; Sciuridae. The record is from RefSeq and is a predicted model, not a curated record.